AAAUUGAAGAGUUUGAUCAUGGCUCAGAUUGAACGCUGGCGGCAGGCCUAACACAUGCAAGUCGAACGGUAACAGGAAGCAGCUUGCUGCUUUGCUGACGAGUGGCGGACGGGUGAGUAAUGUCUGGGAAACUGCCUGAUGGAGGGGGAUAACUACUGGAAACGGUGGCUAAUACCGCAUAACGUCGCAAGACCAAAGAGGGGGACCUUCGGGCCUCUUGCCAUCAGAUGUGCCCAGAUGGGAUUAGCUGGUUGGUGAGGUAACGGCUCACCAAGGCGACGAUCCCUAGCUGGUCUGAGAGGAUGACCAGCCACACUGGAACUGAGACACGGUCCAGACUCCUACGGGAGGCAGCAGUGGGGAAUAUUGCACAAUGGGCGCAAGCCUGAUGCAGCCAUGCCGCGUGUAUGAAGAAGGCCUUCGGGUUGUAAAGUACUUUCAGCGGGGAGGAAGGUGUUGUGGUUAAUAACCGCAGCAAUUGACGUUACCCGCAGAAGAAGCACCGGCUAACUCCGUGCCAGCAGCCGCGGUAAUACGGAGGGUGCAAGCGUUAAUCGGAAUUACUGGGCGUAAAGCGCACGCAGGCGGUCUGUCAAGUCGGAUGUGAAAUCCCCGGGCUCAACCUGGGAACUGCAUUCGAAACUGGCAGGCUUGAGUCUUGUAGAGGGGGGUAGAAUUCCAGGUGUAGCGGUGAAAUGCGUAGAGAUCUGGAGGAAUACCGGUGGCGAAGGCGGCCCCCUGGACAAAGACUGACGCUCAGGUGCGAAAGCGUGGGGAGCAAACAGGAUUAGAUACCCUGGUAGUCCACGCCGUAAACGAUGUCUACUUGGAGGUUGUGCCCUUGAGGCGUGGCUUCCGGAGCUAACGCGUUAAGUAGACCGCCUGGGGAGUACGGCCGCAAGGUUAAAACUCAAAUGAAUUGACGGGGGCCCGCACAAGCGGUGGAGCAUGUGGUUUAAUUCGAUGCAACGCGAAGAACCUUACCUGGUCUUGACAUCCACGGAAGUUUUCAGAGAUGAGAAUGUGCCUUCGGGAACCGUGAGACAGGUGCUGCAUGGCUGUCGUCAGCUCGUGUUGUGAAAUGUUGGGUUAAGUCCCGCAACGAGCGCAACCCUUAUCCUUUGUUGCCAGCGGUCCGGCCGGGAACUCAAAGGAGACUGCCAGUGAUAAACUGGAGGAAGGUGGGGAUGACGUCAAGUCAUCAUGGCCCUUACGACCAGGGCUACACACGUGCUACAAUGGCGCAUACAAAGAGAAGCGACCUCGCGAGAGCAAGCGGACCUCAUAAAGUGCGUCGUAGUCCGGAUUGGAGUCUGCAACUCGACUCCAUGAAGUCGGAAUCGCUAGUAAUCGUGGAUCAGAAUGCCACGGUGAAUACGUUCCCGGGCCUUGUACACACCGCCCGUCACACCAUGGGAGUGGGUUGCAAAAGAAGUAGGUAGCUUAACCUUCGGGAGGGCGCUUACCACUUUGUGAUUCAUGACUGGGGUGAAGUCGUAACAAGGUAACCGUAGGGGAACCUGCGGUUGGAUCACCUCCUUACCUUAAAGAA
This 1552-nucleotide ribosomal RNA is filed under the name Salmonella enterica subsp. enterica serovar Cerro. Its description in RNAcentral is "bacterial SSU rRNA". It matches the Rfam family "Bacterial small subunit ribosomal RNA". The record is from RNAcentral. Lineage: Bacteria; Pseudomonadati; Pseudomonadota; Gammaproteobacteria; Enterobacterales; Enterobacteriaceae.